GGGUAAUUGGUCAUUAAAUAUUGAGGAUGGGAACUCAGAUGUGCUGGCAAGUUCUUGGAGUAAGCAUCCUGCAGCCAACUAGAACAAUAUUUAAGAAAAAGUUAUCAAAAGUAAAGAUUGACAAGUGAAAGGAGAAAAGGCAUAGGAAAUGUGGAAAUGGAAAUUUGCCUAGGUGAAAUAAAACAAGGAGGAAAAAAAUUAGGCACAGAAUAAUCAC
Molecule: long non-coding RNA, 217 nt
Filed under: Gorilla gorilla gorilla (western lowland gorilla)
Lineage: Eukaryota; Metazoa; Chordata; Mammalia; Primates; Hominidae
Description: lncRNA (ENSGGOG00000044684.1)
Source: RNAcentral